Molecule: long non-coding RNA, 937 nt
Organism: Spinacia oleracea (spinach)
Lineage: Eukaryota; Viridiplantae; Streptophyta; Magnoliopsida; Caryophyllales; Amaranthaceae
Exons: 2
Source: RefSeq, a predicted model, not a curated record
UCCCCUUGCUUUGGAAGGGAGAUUACUAGUUUAUAAUGAUCUUUAUUCCUAAAUCCUUGGUAUUUAGACAUAUAAAUAAUGGAACUUUUAAUUGUAAUCCAUUUACAUCAAUAACAGUGUAACGUAAGAAAAAAGACAAAUUAAAAAUGGCAUCAACGUAUUUAUGCACCUCAAAGAUUGCCUUCACUCUUUUGUUUGGUGUGUCUCUCAUCUUCUUCAUUCAUGCAACGGGAAUUUCGAAUGAGGGGUUGGAUUCAGACUGUGAUUUUGUAAACAUUUCAUGCAAAACAAAGAAUGAUUGCAAAAUUCCAUGUCAAAGAUCAGGCCACCUUACUGGUCUUUCUAUUUGUGUUCCUGAUGGGCAAUUUGGACAUGCAAAUACACGUUGUUGUUGUUUAACUGCAAAAAAGUAAUACUAAUUCCAGAAAAGUAAUUACAAACUACUCCCUCCAUUUCGUUUUGAUGUAUCCAUUUCAGAAAGUGGGGAGUUUUUAAGAAAAUUAGAAUCUUGGUUUGUAUUGGUAUAAUUGUAAUGAUUGGGUGUAAGAAAAAUGAUUGUAUGUAAGAGAUUAUAAUAAAAAAAGAAGAGAGAAAAUAAUAAAGAAAUAAGGUAAGAGAGAGGAGUGCGCAAAGGCUACAUAUACAUUGUGUGUAUGUGGGCCAAGCAUACAAUGCUCAUCUACUGGUCCAAGCCACAUCAUCGUAGCCAUGUCAUCGUAUGAGUCAUCCCAAAAUUUCCCCAAAAUUUGGUUUCUGGUUUGAAUUUCAAAUUCAAACCCUAACAAUUUCUUUUUCCUUUUUUUUCGGUCGAUGUUUACAAAGUAGUGCCAAAAAUUUGAUCUCAAUUCUGAAAUCUUAGAUUUGUUUGUUGUUGUAAAUUUUCAUUCACCCUUGAUUUAUAAGAAGAAGAAAAUCCAAUUUGCGGUAUUUCUUUCGA